UCCUUGGUGGUCCAGGGCCUAAGACUCUGCACUCCCAAUGCAGGGGCCCCGGGUUUGAUCCCUGGUUGGGCAA
RNAcentral lists this transfer RNA (73 nucleotides) under Ovis aries (sheep). It matches the Rfam family "tRNA". Rfam says of the family: Transfer RNA (tRNA) molecules are approximately 80 nucleotides in length. Lineage: Eukaryota; Metazoa; Chordata; Mammalia; Artiodactyla; Bovidae. The record is from Rfam by way of RNAcentral.